This 4413-nucleotide long non-coding RNA is filed under the name Homo sapiens (human). Its description in RNAcentral is "HSALNT0124928". Lineage: Eukaryota; Metazoa; Chordata; Mammalia; Primates; Hominidae. The record is from RNAcentral.
CUGUCGUGCCCACCUUUGAGUGGUGCCUUUGUUUUAACCUUUUUCGCAUACACAAAAAUGAAUCAGCAUGCAUUUCACUAUUCUAAGCCCAUCAAAGCCCCGGACUCAGCCACACUGGGAGAGAAAUCACCUGACUUCAGCUGGGGGAACCACCCCUGCUUCCCCUCUCCACAAGGAGCUGUUUCGUCGCUCAAUAAAAUUCUUCGCCCUCCUCACCCUUCAAUUGUCAGCAUAUCCCCAUUCUUCCCGGAUGUGGGACAAGGACUUGGAAACCGUCAAAUGUGGAUACGAGCUAUAAUAAAGUUCUUAGGUCUUGAGACCAAAAGGAGCCACACUAAUGGAGUAACCACUACUUAUCAACUACAGAUUCUGGGCUUUGAGCAAAUACAUCAGCACCAGCUGAAGAAGAAAGGGAAGUAGAUAUGGAGCACUGCAAAUUUGCUUCUGCGCAAAAGGAAAAGGCAGCUGAAAAACAGUUUUGGCAAAUUAAAUUGCAAAUGAUUCAGCCCCAUCAAGCUAGUCAAUGAGAAAAAAAAAGGACAAAUUUUUAUUCCGACAUGAAAAUUGCAGAGCCGGAGGAAAAUUGAAGACUAUUAGUUAACAGUUUAAAUGAAUCAAGACAAAUUUUUUUCAGAUAGUUUUCUAACACCUUAUAGUACUUCCAAGUUGACUAAUUGAGUAUUUAUUGACCUAUAAAUUUUAUUUAACUUAAUCUGUAAUUUAAAAUUUUAUUAUUUUAUUUAUUUUAUUAUUUUAUUUUGAGAUGGAGUCUCUCUCUGUCGCCCAGGCUGGAGUACGGUGGCACGAUCUCGGCUCACUGCAACCUCCACCUCCUGGGUUUGAGUGAUUCUUGUGCCUCAGCCUCUGGAGUAGCUGGGACUACAGGUGUACACCACCAUGCCUGUCUAAUUUUUGUAUUUUUCAUAGAGAUGGGGUUUUGUCAUGUUGGCCAGGUUGGUCUUGAACUCCUGACCUCAGGUGAUCUGCCUGCCUCAGCCUCCCAAAGUGCUGGGAUUACAGGUAUUUUCUAUUUUAAAUGCACUUCUUGCUUUUCAUUUGCUAACCUCUAUAUUUCUUAAAAAAAUCCCAUUAGUGGAAGGAUUCAGAUAUUCUCUGCCUUCCAUGUUAUUUUCUUUAUAUUGAGCAAACAGAUUUCGUAAUAAAUACUUAACUGAUAAUCAUAAUAACUAGGACUGACUAUACUAUAAAAUCUUCAAUAUGAGAUUGGGAACUCAUUUUAUCUUGCUAUAUAUCAGUUUCCUAAUUUGUAAAACGAAGAUAGUAAUAACUCACCUUCAUUAUCCUAGAGGAUGUUGGUAAGAUACAAGAGAAACAAAAUGCUUUCAUACGUACAAAUUAAAGCACUCCCCAUGCAAUAGCAAAGUGAUGUGGGUUUUUUUAAUUUGUUUUGUGUUUUUUUCAAAUAUAUUUCCAAAUUUUAAAUCCCUUGGAGCUCUAAGUCACAAAUGGCUCAUUCUUGAAGCCUCCAAUUACUUUUCCAGAUCUCACUGAGCAGUCCUACCUUUGAGCUCUGGCACCAUUCAACACUUAUUAACACUUAAUGUUAAAGAGACAAAUGAUUCACAUUUUUCAAAAGAAAAUAUUUAUAUGAAACUGCAAGUCUUUCGAAAAUAUAUGGCUUGAAUGCUACAAUUAUAAUGUUAAAAUUAUAUUAAAAUGGAAAUGAAUCAAAAAAUCUUCUAAUUAGGGAACUGAGAAUUACAUUAGGGGACCAAUGCUGAAUUACAUUAGAGGACCAAUGUUGAGUGUUUCUAAGGAGGCUGUUUCUAAACCAAGCAACCUGAUGACCAUCUAUGUUAUGUUAAAAGAUUCCAAAGUUAAGGAUAAGGCACAUAUAUAAUUGAUACAGGAGACGGACAGGGAAGUGCUGGGUAGAGAAGAGUGGGGUCACUAGUGAGGGCUCCACCCUUGGGCCUGUGCCCUCGGACGUAAGAGAGAAUAGGCACUCAUGUUUUCAUGUCCACAUGUUGCAUUUUCAAAGACCAUUCUGGCUAACCACACCCCUCAUCCUGUGCCCAUAUAAACCUGAGACCUUAGCGGUCACACAUACAAGUGGCUGAACAUCAAGAAGAGCAGAGGAACAGAGUGGCAGAACAGUGGGGAGGAUCGCCUUCCCACUCCAUCGUCCCUUUCCAGUUCCCCACCCAUCCAGCUGAAAGCCACUUGCACCACUCAGUAAAACCUCACAUUUAGCCUUUGAGUCCGUAUGUGACCCGAUUUUUUCUGGGAAGCUGGACAAGAGCUCGGGACACAGAAACCUGUCACACUUGCCCUCUGUCCUUGCAAAAAGGCAGAGGGUCCAUUGAGCUGAUUAACACAAAAACUGUCUACAGAUGGCAAAGCUGAAAGAGCUUUGUAACAAUGGGGUCGCAGGCACCCACUCCUAGACGCUAGCCGGAGAGCUUGCUCCAGUCUCUGCACCUGCCUGUCUGCAAGCUCCCACUUCCUCAAGGGGUUUGAACUGUGGGGUGACAGAACAGGUGGGCCACACCUCUGUUGCACGUCCUGUGAGGGGAACCAAGGAACUCUCCCAUUUCAUAAUGGUUGUCUAUACCAGUGUUGACUCAUCUUAAAAGCUGAAAAUGUUUGCUAACCCAUAGAGUAUAUGGUAGAUUGUUUUAUUUGUUUAGUGUGCUUCCUUUCUUUCCUUCUUGCCAUGCUUCCCUUUAGGUAAAUUUUUUAAUGGCCUCGAGAUAAACAUGCUCUUAUUCUCGUGUUAUUUGGGAGAAAAUAUGGUCUUUGAAGAGUCAAUUAAGAAUCUUGAGUUUGGGAGAUUAUUUUGGGUAAUCUUGUGUAGAGCCUUAAAUGCCAUGUAUAAGAGGAAGACAGCAGGAGAUUUGAUGUGUACAUACAAAGAAGUCAAUGUGAAGACAAAGACAAAGGCUGGAGUGAUGUGGCCACAAGCCUAGGAAUGCUGACAGCCCUCAGAAACUGAAAGAGGCAAAGAACAGUUUCUUCCCUAAAGCCCCUGGAGGGAUUGCUGCCCAGCCAACAUAUUGAUGUCAGCUCCAGGACACUGAAUUCAGACUUCUGUCCUCUGGAACUGUGGGAGAACAAAUUUCUGUGAUUUUAAGCCAUCCAGUUUGUGGUAAUUUGUUAUGGCAGCUAUAGGAAACUAAUACAGAAACUACACUUUCCUGCUUCAUUGAUUUUGUACUUGGCCCUGUGACUUGCUUUGGCUAAUGGAGUAUGAGCAGAUGUUUAUAGAUGUCAUGUCCCAGCAGAAACUUUAAAUGCUUUUUUUAGCUGCCUGUCUUAUUCCUGUCCUCCUUCAUUAGAACAUAUCCCAGGUAGAGGGAUAUCUGGAAACUUCAGUCUGAGUUUCAGAAAAAGAAACACAUGGAUUGAGGCCCAGCCAAGUGCAAUCAAGCACAACCAAGCCAACAAGUUAAGCCAAGAUUAGAUGAACCUAGCAGAACUACAGCAUAUCUGGGCUGGGCAUGCGGUGGCUCACGCCUGUAAUCUCAGCACUUUGGGAGCCCGAGGAGGGCAGAUCACAAGGUCAGGAGAUCGAGACCAUCCUGGCUAACACAGUGAAACCCGUCUCUACUAAAAAUACAAAAACAAAAUUAGCCGGGCGUGGUGGCGGGCGCCUGUAGUUCCAGCUACUCGGGAGGCUGAGGCAGGAGAAUGGCGUGAACCCAGGAGGUGGAGCUUGCAGUGAGCCGAGAUCUCGCCACUGCACUCCAGCUUGGGCGACAGAGCCAGACUCCGUCUCAAAAAAAAAAAAAAGAACUACAGCCUAUCUGUGGUCCUCAUGUAAUGUGAACAAGAAAUAAAUAUUGUCAUAAAAUAUAAAGAUUUUGGUGUUACCUAUUGCUCCAGCCAAAGGUGAAUAAUAGUACAUAUCAUCAACCGUUGAUGAAUAUUGUACUCCCUCUUUUUGUUUUAAUUUAUUAUUAUUAUUUUUUAAAAUUAUCCUUUAAGUACAGAGAUGUUUUUUCUAAUUAAAUGUUGUCUUUCUGCUGCCAUUCUCUAGUGUAAUGAAUAUUCAGCAUUCUCAAGAUAAUAGGCCCUGAAGUGCUUGAAGGAGAGUAAUAAUCAUUUCCUAGUCUUCCCUUCUUUAUCAUAAUUGACCCCAACUUUAAAAAUAUUCCCCAAUUUUAACAAUGUUUUAUUAUUCUGAUAGUCUGGGAUGGUAAUAUCUCUCUGGAGAUGUGGAAACUCUACUCUUUAUUUACAUUUGUGACCAUAACUAGACAGCUUAGUUUAUAUUCAAAGAUAUCUAAAAGACAACAGAUGAAGCAUUUCUUCACUUAUAGCAUAUACUUUUCUUUCUUCAUUUUUUUUGUUCCAACUUUCAUUUUUCUUUUUCAGAUCUCCACAUUCAACAAUUCUGAUUCUUCCUAAAAUCUAUUUUCUUUUCCUUCAAAAUUUAUUUUUCAAUUUCUG